GAGGAAUAUUGGUCAAUGGGCGCGAGCCUGAACCAGCCAAGUAGCGUGAAGGAUGACUGCCCUAUGGGUUGUAAACUUCUUUUAUAAGGGAAUAAAGUGAGGCACGUGUGCCUUAUUGUAUGUACCUUAGGAAUAAGCAUCGGCUAACUCCGUGCCAGCAGCCGCGGUAAUACGGAGGAUGCAAGCGUUAUCCGGAUUUAUUGGGUUUAAAGGAUGCGUAGGCGGAUAUGUAAGUCAGAUGUGAAACCCCCGGGCUUAACCCGGGGCAUGCAUUUGAGACUGCAUAUCUAGAGUGCAGGAGAGGAAAGCGGAAUUCCUAGUGUAGCGGUGAAAUGCGUAGAUAUUAGGAAGAACACCAGUGGCGAAGGCGGCUUUCUGGACUGUAACUGACGCUGAUGCAUGAAAGCGUGGGGAGCAAACA
Molecule: ribosomal RNA, 421 nt
Filed under: uncultured bacterium
Lineage: Bacteria
Description: bacterial SSU rRNA
Rfam family: Bacterial small subunit ribosomal RNA
Source: RNAcentral